Molecule: unclassified non-coding RNA, 253 nt
Filed under: uncultured cyanobacterium
Lineage: Bacteria; Bacillati; Cyanobacteriota
Description: contains 16S-23S intergenic spacer region
Rfam family: Bacterial small subunit ribosomal RNA
Source: RNAcentral
GACGUAGGGUGCAAGCGUUGUCCGGAAUUAUUGGGCGUAAAGAGUUCGUAGGCGGUUAUUUAAGUCUGGUGUUAAAGACGGGAGCUCAACUCCCGCAUGGCAUUGGAAACUGGAUAGCUAGAGUGUGGCAGAGGUAUCGGGAAUUCCUGGUGUAGCGGUGAAAUGCGUAGAUAUCAGGAGGAACACCGGUGGCGAAAGCGCGAUACUGGGCCAUAACUGACGCUGAGGAACGAAAGCCAGGGGAGCAAAAGGG